UUGCGGUUAAAAAGCUCGUAGUUGGAUGUCUGUUGAGGAUGACCGGUCCGCUCUUUGAGCGCGUAUGCUGGUUCAGCCUUGGCAUCCUCUUGGGGAACGCUACUGUGCUUGAUUGCAUGGGGCGGUAUUCAAGACUUUUACUUUGAGGAAAUUAGAGUGUUCACUGCAAGCGUUAGCAAUUGAAUACAUUAGCAUGGAAUAAUAAUAUAGGACCUUGGUACUAUUUUGUUGGUUUCUAGAACUAAGGUAAUGAUUAAUAGGGACAAUUGGGGGCAUUCGUAUUAACGCGUCAGAGGUGGAAUUCUUAGAUUGCGUUACGACGAACUACUGCGAAAGCAUUUGCCAAGGAUGUUUUCAUUGAUCAAGAACGAAAGUAUGGGGAUCGAAGACGCUUAGAUACCGUCGUAGUCUAUACCAUAAACUAUGCCAACUAGAGAUUGGAGGUCGUUCUCUUUAUGACUCCUUCAGCACCUUAUGAGAAAUCAAAGUCUUUGGGUUCCGGGGGGAGUAUGGUCGCAAGGCUGAAACUUAAAGGAAUUGACGGAAGGGCACCACCAGGAGUGGAGCCUGCGGCUUAAU
Molecule: ribosomal RNA, 579 nt
Filed under: uncultured marine eukaryote
Lineage: Eukaryota
Description: SSU rRNA
Rfam family: Eukaryotic small subunit ribosomal RNA
Source: RNAcentral